This is a non-coding RNA of Ceratobasidium sp. UAMH 11750, 86 nucleotides long. NCBI's taxonomy places the organism in Eukaryota, Fungi, Basidiomycota, Agaricomycetes, Cantharellales, Ceratobasidiaceae. The record is from the annotation of a GenBank genome assembly.
GGAGUGAUGGUGUAGUUGGUUAUAAUCACGUCCGUCCAACACAAAGUGUACACAGACGGUCCUUAGUUCGAACCUGGGUCGCUUCA